AGUUUAUUGUUAUUUUUAUAAUAAAUUUUUUCUGCCCGGUGUUAGUUAUAAACGGCCGCGGUACUUUGACCGUGCAAAGGUAGCAUAAUCACUUGUUCUUUAAUUGGGGACUAGAAUGAAGGAACGAUUUGAGACUAAAGCUGUCUCUUUUUUAAGUUAAAAUUUGCUUUUUUUGUGAAGAAGCAAAAAUAUGGGAAAAAGACAAGAAGACCCUAUUAAGCUUUAUUUUUUUUCGCUUUUUGUUUUCUUUUAAGGAUUUCUUAAAGUAACUUUAAAUAAAUUUAGUUGGGGCGACUAAAAAGGAUAAGAAUCCUCUUUUUUUUAUUUAACUUUAAGUUUAAAAAGGGUCCAAAAUUUUUUGGUUGAAAGAAUUAGUUACUAUAGGGAUAACAGCGUAAUUUUUUCAUAAAGUUCUUAUUGAAGAAAAAGUUUGCGACCUCGAUGUUGACUUAUCAUUACCUCUUAAGGUGCAGUAGCUAGAAAGGUUAGUCUGUUCGACUAUUAAAAUGAUACGUGAGUUGAGUUCAGACCGGCGUAA
Molecule: ribosomal RNA, 538 nt
Filed under: Maculaura cerebrosa
Lineage: Eukaryota; Metazoa; Nemertea; Pilidiophora; Heteronemertea; Lineidae
Description: partial 16S ribosomal RNA
Rfam family: Bacterial large subunit ribosomal RNA
Source: RNAcentral